GGAUAAUAGCUCAGCGGUAGAGCACCUGCUUCAUGCACAAAGGUCUCAGGUUCAAUCCCUGCCAUCUCCA
Podarcis lilfordi (Lilford's wall lizard) is the source of this 70-nucleotide non-coding RNA. The record is from the annotation of a GenBank genome assembly. NCBI's taxonomy places the organism in Eukaryota, Metazoa, Chordata, Lepidosauria, Squamata, Lacertidae.